RNAcentral lists this ribosomal RNA (1267 nucleotides) under metagenome. RNAcentral describes it as "bacterial SSU rRNA". It matches the Rfam family "Bacterial small subunit ribosomal RNA", at positions 243 to 1498 of the family's 1533-position model. The record is from RNAcentral.
AGCUUGUUGGUAGGGUAAUGGCCUACCAAGGCUAUGAUGGUUAGCUGGUCUGAGAGGAUGAUCAGCCACACUGGAACAGAUAUAUGGUCCAGACUCCUACGGGAGGUAGCAGUGAGGAAUUUUGCGUAAUGGGGGAAACCCUGACGCAGCAACGCCGCGUGAGUGAUGAAGGCUUUCGGGUCGUAAAGCUCUGUCAAGUGGGAAGAAUCCAUAUGGUGUUAAUAUCACCAUAUGCUGAUGGUACCACUGAAGGAAGCACCGGCUAAUUCCGUGCCAGUAGUUGUGGUAAUACGGGGGGUGCGAGUGUUAUUCGGAAUUACUGGGCGUAAAGAGCGCGUAGGCGGUCUUUUAAGUCAGGUGUGAAAGUCCGGGGUUUAAUUUUGGAAGUGCACUUGAAAUUAAGAGACUUGAGUAUGGGAGAGGGAAGUGGAAUUCCUGGUGUAGUGGUGAAAUGUGUAGAUAUCAGGAGGAACAUUAGUGGUGAAGGUGACUUCCUGGACCAAUACUGACGCUGAGGCGCGAAGGCGUGGGGAGUAAAUAGGAUUAGAUAUCUUGGUAGUUUACGUAGUAAACGGUGAACACUAGGUGUAGCGGGUAUUGAUUCCUGCUGUGCCGCAGCAAAUGUAUUAAGUGUUCCGCCUGGGCAGUACGGCCGCAAGGUUAAAACUCAAAGGAAUUGACGGGGGCCCGCACAAGCGGUGGAGCAUGUGGUUUAAUUCGACGCAACGCGAAGAACCUUACCUAGGUUUGACAUCCCGGGAAUUUUGUGGAAACACGAAAGUGCCCUUCGGGGAGCCCGGUGACAGGUGCUGCAUGGCUGUCGUCAGCUCGUGUCGUGAGAUGUUGGGUUAAGUCCCGUAAUGAGCGCAACCCCUCUCUUUAGAUAUCAGCAUUUAGUUGGGGACUCUAAAGAUACUGCCCCGGUUAACGGGGAGGAAGGUGGGGAUGACGUCAAGUCCUCAUGGCCUUUAUGCUUAGGGCUACACACGUGCUACAAUGGACUGUAUAAAGGGUUGUUAGCCCGCGAGGGUGAGCCAAUCUUAGAAAGCAGUUCGUAGUUCGGAUUGGAGUCUGCAAUUUGACUCCAUGAAGUUGGAAUCGCUAGUAAUCGUGGAUUAGAAUGCCACGGUGAAUACGUUCCCGGGCCUUGUAUAUACCGCCCGUCACACCAUGAGAGUUGGUUGUACCAGAAGUCGCUGGGCAAACCUUUUGAGGGUGCAGGCGCCUAAGGUAUGGCUGAUGAUUGGGGUGAAGUUGAAAUAAGGUA